RNAcentral lists this ribosomal RNA (253 nucleotides) under uncultured bacterium. RNAcentral's name for it is "partial 16S ribosomal RNA". It matches the Rfam family "Bacterial small subunit ribosomal RNA", at positions 524 to 776 of the family's 1533-position model. The record is from RNAcentral.
UACGAAGGGGGCUAGCGUUGUUCGGAAUUACUGGGAGUAAAGCGCGUGUAGGCGGGCCGUUAAGUCGGGGGUGAAAGCCCAGAGCUCAACUCUGGAACUGCCUUCGCUACUGGCGGCCUGGAGCAUGAUAGAGGCGAGUGGAAUUGCGAGUGUAGAGGUGAAAUUCGUAGAUAUUCGCAGGAACACCAGUGGCGAAGGCGUCUCGCUGGAUCAUUGCUGACGCUGAGACGCGAAAGCGCGGGGAGCAAACAGG